RNAcentral lists this ribosomal RNA (309 nucleotides) under uncultured bacterium. RNAcentral's name for it is "bacterial SSU rRNA". It matches the Rfam family "Bacterial small subunit ribosomal RNA", at positions 28 to 334 of the family's 1533-position model. The record is from RNAcentral.
GAUGAACGCUAGCGGCAGGCCUAACACAUGCAAGUCGAGGGGUAACAUUUGUGCUUGCACAAGAUGACGACCGGCGCACGGGUGCGGAACGCGUAUGGAACCUGCCCUUGUCAGGGGAAUAGCCCAGAGAAAUUUGGAUUAAUGCCCCAUGGUAUCCAUUUACCACAUGGUAUAUGGAUUAAAGAUUUAUCGGACAAGGAUGGCCAUGCGUACCAUUAGUCAGAUGGUGAGGUAACGGCUCACCAUAACUACGAUGGUUAGGGGCCCUGAGAGGGGGAUCCCCCACACUGGUACUGAGACACGGACCAG